RNAcentral lists this ribosomal RNA (77 nucleotides) under Paenibacillus silvestris. RNAcentral describes it as "Paenibacillus sp. 5J-6 partial 16S ribosomal RNA". It matches the Rfam family "Bacterial small subunit ribosomal RNA", at positions 1 to 75 of the family's 1533-position model. Lineage: Bacteria; Bacillati; Bacillota; Bacilli; Caryophanales; Paenibacillaceae. The record is from RNAcentral.
CUACUAUGGAGAGUUUGAUCCUGGCUCAGGACGAACGCUGGCGGCGUGCCUAAUACAUGCAAGUCGAGCGGAGCACU